RNAcentral lists this transfer RNA (63 nucleotides) under Rattus norvegicus (Norway rat). It matches the Rfam family "tRNA". Rfam says of the family: Transfer RNA (tRNA) molecules are approximately 80 nucleotides in length. The record is from Rfam by way of RNAcentral. Lineage: Eukaryota; Metazoa; Chordata; Mammalia; Rodentia; Muridae.
GGGGAUUUAGCUCAAUGGUAGAGCACUUGCCUAGCAAGCUCAAGGCCCUGGGUUCAGUCCCCA